Molecule: ribosomal RNA, 289 nt
Filed under: uncultured Fusibacter sp.
Lineage: Bacteria; Bacillati; Bacillota; Clostridia; Eubacteriales; Fusibacteraceae
Description: partial 16S ribosomal RNA
Rfam family: Bacterial small subunit ribosomal RNA
Source: RNAcentral
AGCGCAGCCCUUCGUGCUUAGUUGCCAACAGGUUAAGCUGUGCACUCUAAACAGACUGCCGUGGAUAACACGGAGGAAGGUGGGGAUGACGUCAAAUCAUCAUGCCCCUUAUGAUCUGGGCUACACACGUGCUACAAUGGUCGGUACAACGGGCAGCGAAAGAGUAAUCUGGAGCGAAUCCUAAAAAGCCGAUCCCAGUUCGGAUUGUGGGCUGAAACUCGCCCACAUGAAGUUGGAGUUGCUAGUAAUCGCGAAUCAGAAUGUCGCGGUGAAUGCGUUCCCGGGUCUU